UUAAAAGCUAUGAAGAGAAAAGUAGUAAAGCUAAAAUUAUUUACAGAGAGCUCCUGAAUGCUGAAAAAGGAGUAAUAAUCAACUUUAUGAAAAAAGACUUGGAGCUUCGUAUGGAACUAAAGUUCACUUUAGAGAUGGUACGACGGGUUCUCCCGUUAUAGAGAUAGGGUAUAUGCAUUCGUGCCGUACCUAAAUAAGGUUGGUAUGGUAACAUAUCAAUAAACUGGGGUGGUACCACGAAGUUAACAAACUCUCGUCCUCAAG
This 264-nucleotide non-coding RNA is filed under the name Bacillus sp. (in: firmicutes). RNAcentral's name for it is "Bacillus sp. T-box sequence". It matches the Rfam family "T-box leader". From Rfam's summary of the family: Uncharged tRNA acts as the effector for transcription antitermination of genes in the T-box leader family. T-boxes are found upstream of many aminoacyl-tRNA synthetase genes and some amino acid biosynthetic genes usually in Gram-positive bacteria. Lineage: Bacteria; Bacillati; Bacillota; Bacilli; Caryophanales; Bacillaceae. The record is from RNAcentral.